GCCGGAGUAGCCCAAUCGGCAGGAGGCAGCACAUUUAAAAUGUGCUCGGCGUAAGCCGCGUGUGGGUCCGAAUCCCACCUCCGGCACCA
RNAcentral lists this transfer RNA (89 nucleotides) under Promethearchaeota archaeon. RNAcentral describes it as "Candidatus Lokiarchaeota archaeon (microbial mat metagenome) tRNA-Leu". It matches the Rfam family "tRNA". Rfam says of the family: Transfer RNA (tRNA) molecules are approximately 80 nucleotides in length. Their secondary structure includes four short double-helical elements and three loops (D, anti-codon, and T loops). The record is from RNAcentral. Lineage: Archaea; Promethearchaeati; Promethearchaeota.